RNAcentral lists this ribosomal RNA (425 nucleotides) under uncultured bacterium. RNAcentral's name for it is "partial 16S ribosomal RNA". It matches the Rfam family "Bacterial small subunit ribosomal RNA", at positions 354 to 796 of the family's 1533-position model. The record is from RNAcentral.
GUGGGGAAUCUUGCGCAAUGGGCGAAAGCCUGACGCAGCCAUGCCGCGUGAAUGAUGAAGGUCUUAGGAUUGUAAAAUUCUUUCACCGGGGACGAUAAUGACGGUACCCGGAGAAGAAGCUCCGGCUAACUUCGUGCCAGCAGCCGCGGUAAUACGAAGGGGGCUAGCGUUGCUCGGAAUUACUGGGCGUAAAGGGCGCGUAGGCGGACAGCUUAGUCAGAGGUGAAAGCCCAGGGCUCAACCUUGGAAUUGCCUUUGAUACUGGCUGUCUUGAGUGUGGGAGAGGUGAGUGGAACUCCGAGUGUAGAGGUGAAAUUCGUAGAUAUUCGGAAGAACACCAGUGGCGAGGGCGACUCACUGGCCCAAUACUGACGCUGAGGCGCGAAAGCGUGGGGAGCAAACAGGAUUAGAUACCCCAGUAGUCC